RNAcentral lists this ribosomal RNA (420 nucleotides) under Bacillus sp. MKR1. RNAcentral's name for it is "bacterial SSU rRNA". It matches the Rfam family "Bacterial small subunit ribosomal RNA", at positions 580 to 998 of the family's 1533-position model. The record is from RNAcentral. Lineage: Bacteria; Bacillati; Bacillota; Bacilli; Caryophanales; Bacillaceae.
UUCUUAAGUCUGAUGUGAAAGCCCCCGGCUCAACCGGGGAGGGUCAUUGGAAACUGGGGAACUUGAGUGCAGAAGAGGAGAGUGGAAUUCCACGUGUAGCGGUGAAAUGCGUAGAGAUGUGGAGGAACACCAGUGGCGAAGGCGACUCUCUGGUCUGUAACUGACGCUGAGGCGCGAAAGCGUGGGGAGCGAACAGGAUUAGAUACCCUGGUAGUCCACGCCGUAAACGAUGAGUGCUAAGUGUUAGAGGGUUUCCGCCCUUUAGUGCUGCAGCAAACGCAUUAAGCACUCCGCCUGGGGAGUACGGUCGCAAGACUGAAACUCAAAGGAAUUGACGGGGGCCCGCACAAGCGGUGGAGCAUGUGGUUUAAUUCGAAGCAACGCGAAUAACCUUACCAGGUCUUGACAUCCUCUGACAAC